This 468-nucleotide ribosomal RNA is filed under the name uncultured bacterium. Its description in RNAcentral is "partial 16S ribosomal RNA". It matches the Rfam family "Bacterial small subunit ribosomal RNA", at positions 28 to 507 of the family's 1533-position model. The record is from RNAcentral.
GACGAACGCUGGCGGCGUGCUUAACACAUGCAAGUCGAACGGAAAGGCCCUGCUUUUGUGGGGUGCUCGAGUGGCGAACGGGUGAGUAACACGUGAGUAACCUGCCCUUGACUUUGGGAUAACUUCAGGAAACUGGGGCUAAUACCGGAUAGGAGCUCCUGCUGCAUGGUGGGGGUUGGAAAGUUUCGGCGGUUGGGGAUGGACUCGCGGCUUAUCAGCUUGUUGGUGGGGUAGUGGCUUACCAAGGCUUUGACGGGUAGCCGGCCGGAGAGGGUGACCGGCCACAUUGGGACUGAGAUACGGCCCAGACUCCUACGGGAGGCAGCAGUGGGGAAUAUUGCAAAAUGGGCGGAAGCCUGAUGCAGCAACGCCGCGUGCGGGAUGACGGCCUUCGGGUUGUAAACCGCUUUCGCCUGUGACGAAGCGUGAGUGACGGUAAUGGGUAAAGAAGCACCGGCUAACUACGUG